Oryzias melastigma (Indian medaka) is the source of this 1367-nucleotide long non-coding RNA. RefSeq lists it as uncharacterized. The record is from RefSeq and is a predicted model, not a curated record. Lineage: Eukaryota; Metazoa; Chordata; Actinopteri; Beloniformes; Adrianichthyidae. The transcript is spliced from 4 exons.
UGAUCUGCCCACGUAUCCUCCAGUCCUGCCCUGCAGUUCUUCUCUGCUGUUUUUGAAGCAGGAUGAACAAGAAAGAAAUGCCAGAAAAGAAAACGUUACGGAUUCCAACCCAGAAAGUGAAGGGCUGAGAGAACACACCUCAACGGAAUGAGCAAUCUAAUCCAGACCAGGUCUGAGAGCUUCAGACUCUUUGAAACCUCAUUGGAGAGAGACUUCACCAUAGCCCAUCUUCACCAUCAGGCCAGCAGGAGCUCUUCCCUGGGUGUGGUGUGUUCGUGUCAUCGUUCUGCCUUGCUGCCAUGAACCACACAUCUAAACCACAUCGCAUGCAUCAGUUUCAUGCUCUGUCCAAUCAUGUCGUCACUGUUGGAGUAUCAAAAUCCAGUCCCUUUUAGUCAUCCUGGAAAUAAUCCCUCCGGAAAAGAAGGAAAGAGGAUCCGUCGACGCAAUCCUAACUUGUGUCCUGAGAUGUGCCACUCCACCUGGUUGGGAAAAAUUGUGGAGGUCAAGCUUAGGAAAGUGUUUGUCAGCAAAUGUACGGCCAGACCAGGUUCUAAGCAGUAGGCCACUGCUAUGAUCUACAGUAUGUGGACUGGUUAUUCUUUCAUCCUUUAUUUAUUUUUUGUUUUUAAUUUUCGUGGACCAGGAGUUUUAAUAAAAUUCCUGCCAAGUGUGUUCUAGGAUUUGGAAGCAUGUAAGUUCUGUUGUUUCAAAGCCAAGUGAGAUUCUUCCUUGUACCUCAGCAGUGCUGUCAGUGUGUUUGUUGUUUAGAAUCUGGAAGUAUUCAUUAUCACCACGUCGGCCAGAUUGAAUACGCCACAGUUCAUGUACUUAUGCAAUUACAUAAAAAACGUUUGCACUGGUUGAAAUAGAUCUCCGGGUAUAACACGACACAAUUUUGUGAAUGUAUUUCUGGUUUUACCCAAAAUAGUUCAUUAAGAAGCCAGGUGGUUUUAACUCGUGUGCUAUCCUGGACAUGUUUACAUUAAAAGUGGGGUCAUCUGUUUUUUUUCCCAAGGAUUUUUAAUCUUGUCUGGUGUCCGUGGCAGACAUAAGAUCCUGUCCACAUUUGUUAUGGGAGAGAUCACACAUCAAUUUAAUGGUAGGGUCAACUUGACCCUAUAAGAGAGCACAAGGAUUAAAGUACUUUAAAGUUAUUAAAAAAAUAAUAAUUUAGUUAAAACCAACUUUUCAACAAGGGGGUUAGUAAACAAUGUCAGAGCUUGUAUUUAAUUUAUUUUUGUGUCUCAUUUAUGUUUUAUAUUUCUGUAUUUUGUUUAAAAAAUGUAAAGAGUCUAAUGCUGUUAUCCCAAUAGAAGUGUUGUACUGAUGGUGCUGGUCAAAUCCCAAAUAAAAUGUAACAUUUA